Molecule: ribosomal RNA, 482 nt
Filed under: uncultured bacterium
Lineage: Bacteria
Also listed under: 1 other name
Description: bacterial SSU rRNA
Rfam family: Bacterial small subunit ribosomal RNA
Source: RNAcentral
AUUGAACGCUGGCGGAAUGCUUUACACAUGCAAGUCGAGCGGCAGCGCGGGGCAACCUGGCGGCGAGCGGCGAACGGGUGAGUAAUACAUCGGAACGUGCCCAGACGUGGGGGAUAACUACUCGAAAGAGUGGCUAAUACCGCAUACGAUCUACGGAUGAAAGCGGGGGAUCGCAAGACCUCGCGCGUCUGGAGCGGCUGAUGGCAGAUUAGGUAGUUGGUGGGAUAAAAGCCUACCAAGCCAACGAUCUGUAGCUGGUCUGAGAGGAUGAUCAGCCACACUGGGACUGAGACACGGCCCAGACUCCUACGGGAGGCAGCAGUGGGGAAUUUUGGACAAUGGGCGAAAGCCUGAUCCAGCCAUUCCGCGUGCAGGAUGAAGGCCCUCGGGUUGUAAACUGCUUUUGUACAGAACGAAAAAGCUCUGGCUAAUACCUGGAGUCCAUGACGGUACUGUAAGAAUAAGCACCGGCUAACUACGUG